GUAACUAGAGAGCGAGCGUCCGCGUGAUAUCGUAUCGUUCUAGCGUUGUUCGAGAUGGGUGUGAUGAAAGUGAGUGUGGUUGGUUUAUCUGGUCUGAAGUCAAAAUCACGGGGCCAACCCUGGACUUGCUUGGAGUACUGGGAUACUAGAGUAUGGUAGAGGGUGCCGGAAUGCCGUGUGUAGCGGUGGAAUGCGCAGAUAGCAGAAGGAACACCGAUGGCGAAGGCAAGUCUCUGGGCCAUUACUGACGCUGAGGAGCGAAAGCAUGGGGAGCGAACAGGAUUAGAUACCCGAGUAGUC
Molecule: ribosomal RNA, 300 nt
Filed under: uncultured Weissella sp.
Lineage: Bacteria; Bacillati; Bacillota; Bacilli; Lactobacillales; Lactobacillaceae
Description: bacterial SSU rRNA
Rfam family: Bacterial small subunit ribosomal RNA
Source: RNAcentral